AGAGCUUGUGAACUGGGGGCAUCUCCUUACCAUUCGUGUGACAUCGCAAGUUACCAGAAACAUUGCUAAUGAAAUUACAAUUAUGUCUUACCUCUUUCGUUUACUUUAAAGGGAUUUGACUCAAUUCAAAUCAGUUUAUGGAGAUUUGAAUAGUAAAGGUGCGGUUCCGCAGAGCAUCUUGAGCGUCCUCAAUCCCGCAAUAAAAAAGGAAGCCCAACUCGAACGUGAAUCACAAGUGUCGUCCAAGUUGAAACAACACCACCUCUGCAAAAAUCAAGGACAAGGAUGGACGAUCAAAAGGGUUUUUCCAUGGUCUUCUUAUUUGCGGUCGUAUCUCUGUUGAGCUGCUGCCAGGCCUCUAAUUUCAUCCUUCCGCUUGUCUCCCGUACUGACGAUGCCAUCAUCAUCGAUCUUGAUGGCUCGGGAUAUGAUGUCCCAUUUCAAAGAAAAAACUGGCACGGCCAAAUUGCCAAUCCUGGAUUCAUUCCGGUGCCAUCGUUCAAUCCUUACCCAAUGAUGUUUCACCAGCAGCAACUGCCUAGUGGAUGGCCGUAUCCGUUCGCCUAUCCUAGUUCCCUUAAUCCUGCAGGUGUCCCAUCCAAUAAGCAGUUUGAUGGCGAAUAUGGAGAAGAAGAGGCGAUCGACGUGAAACAAAAACACAGCGACUUGCGGCACCGCACCGACUGUCAUGCCCACCGCAAGGGGAUUGAUAAGCGAAAGGCUCGUUGGCGCAGCCAAUGCCAAAAAGAGUGGUUGGUCUUUCAUGGUAGCCCUGAAAAGCUGAUGGUUACAUAUUUGGCAGCUUUUAUUGAUUAGUGACACUAAAGUCCUUAUAGCGGCCCACUGUGGAAAAGAUGUCUUUGAUCGAGAUCAGUGGUGUGACCACAUUGAUUGGAAUGUAUUUAACGGGCCAGUCAGACGUCCAGAUAUCAAGGAGGAUUAGCAAAGUUGUCCUUCAUGAGAAAUACAACGCCUUCAACUCCGCCAAUGAUAUCGCCAUCCUCACACCUACAUAUCCCGUAAUUCUUUAUAAAACUGUCUUCCCCGUUUUUUUGCCGCUGCUCAAUAAUGACCCCGACCAAUACGUCGACACGACUGCCGUGAUUUUGGGAUGGGGAGCAGCUCCAGGCGCAACCGCACCCGCUAAACUGUAACAAGCCCUUGUUGGGUUAAAAUUCGGUUUAGCUGACUGAUAUUAAAUAAUACAAGCCAUGCUAUUUAAUGUAUGAGUGCAUGCACAUUAAAAAGUUCUGAAUAAACAUUAACCCAAGCAAGUAAAA
Molecule: long non-coding RNA, 1280 nt
Filed under: Daphnia pulicaria
Lineage: Eukaryota; Metazoa; Arthropoda; Branchiopoda; Diplostraca; Daphniidae
Description: uncharacterized LOC124338385, transcript variant X1
Source: RNAcentral